This 1374-nucleotide ribosomal RNA is filed under the name Triticum aestivum (bread wheat). RNAcentral describes it as "partial small subunit ribosomal RNA". The record is from RNAcentral. Lineage: Eukaryota; Viridiplantae; Streptophyta; Magnoliopsida; Poales; Poaceae.
AUGAUCUUACACGACCUUUGGUGUGUUUUGGUUUGCUUCCACGACCUUGAUGUGUUUGGUCUUCCAGGCUUCCGUCCAAGCCACACAUAUCAUCCUGUUAGUGUGUUAUCACAUCAGCGGCCAGCGGUAACUGAUGGAGCUUUUGGUCCUGGAGCCGUGACUAGACCACCUAUCACACCUGUUCCUCCAGCUAAUGUUUUUGGUCUUGGAGCCGUGACAAGACCACGACCAUUUAUGACACCAGUUCCUCCAGCUAAUGUUUUUGGUCCUGGAGCCGUGACUAGACCACCUAUCGCAUUUGUUCCUCCCGCUAAUGUUUUUGGUCCUGGAGCCAUGGCUAGACCACCUAUCGCACUUGUUCCCCCAGCUAAUGUUUUUGGUCCUGGAGCCGUGGCUAGACCACCCAUCGCGCCUGUUCCUUCAGCUAACGUUUUUGGUCCUGGAGCUGUGACUAGACCACCUAUCACGCCUGUUCCUCCAGCUAACGUUUUUGGUCAUGGAGCUGUGACUAGACCACCUAUUGCGCCUGCUCCUCCAGCUAACGUCUUUGGUCAUGGAGCCGUGACUAGACCACCUAUGACACCUGUUCCUCCAGCUACUGAUUUUGGUCCUGGAGCUGUGACUAGACCUCAUAUCGCACCUGUUCCACCAGUUAAUGAGCCACAGUUUAAAGUAUAUGUUGGCAAGAUUGCAUCAACAGUGGACAAUGAUUUUGUUCUUUCUCUUCUUCAGGUCUGUGGAAUUGUAAAAAGUUGGAAUCCAGUCAUAAAUCCAAUUGAUGGAACUCCUACUGGGUUUGGCUUUUGUGAUUUUGAAUCUGCCGAAGGCAGUCUUCGUGCAUGGCGGCUGCUCAACAAACUAAGAAUUGAUGGUCAAGAGCUGUUGGUUAAUGUCAAUGAAGCCACGAGACAGCACCUUCAGAAAUACUGUGAGAAUACUACAGAAGAGAAGGCCAAUGAAAUUGAUAUGGCUGCUAUGCAAACGAUACACAGUAUGGUUGAAGAGAGAAUGAGGUGUAAAUUUCUGGGUUCACCAAUUCAGUCUGUUCAGGCAUCUACAAGCAUCAGUGAUGAGAAAGGUGAUGGUCAUACAAGGAGUGGUGCACUGGAGGAAAGGACAAGCAAGAGACAACGUGAAAAAGAGGAACAUUUAGGGGAAAGUAAAGUUGUUUGUUUGCAAGGUUGGAAAGAUAAAGAAGUGAUUUCAGCUGGAAAGCCUUCUCUGCAAAUUGAUGCGAUAUCAUCAAUGUAUGUUCCCAUGGAGCCUGAAUCUACAAUUGAACACGAGAGGAAACGUCAGCGCAGGGAAAUAGAUGGGUUUCAUAAGAGCAAUGGUGAAGGGCAUUGUAUCUCUACCAGUGCUAGUCUCAGAUAA